CAGGAUGAACGCUGGCGGCGUGCCUAAUACAUGCAAGUCGAGCGAACAGAUAAGGAGCUUGCUCCUUUGACGUUAGCGGCGGACGGGUGAGUAACACGUGGGUAACCUACCUAUAAGACUGGAAUAACUCCGGGAAACCGGGGCUAAUGCCGGAUAAUAUUUAGAACCGCAUGGUUCUAAAGUGAAAGAUGGUUUUGCUAUCACUUAUAGAUGGACCCGCGCCGUAUUAGCUAGUUGGUGGGGUAAUGGCUUACCAAGGCAACGAUACGUAGCCGACCUGAGAGGGUGAUCGGCCACACUGGAACUGAGACACGGUCCAGACUCCUACGGGAGGCAGCAGUAGGGAAUCUUCCGCAAUGGGCGAAAGCCUGACGGAGCAACGCCGCGUGAGUGAUGAAGGUCUUCGGAUCGUAAAACUCUGUUAUUAGGGAAGAACAAAUGUGUAAGUAACUGUGCACGUCUUGACGGUACCUAAUCAGAAAGCCACGGCUAACUACGUGCC
This 502-nucleotide ribosomal RNA is filed under the name uncultured bacterium. RNAcentral describes it as "bacterial SSU rRNA". It matches the Rfam family "Bacterial small subunit ribosomal RNA", at positions 25 to 509 of the family's 1533-position model. The record is from RNAcentral.